RNAcentral lists this long non-coding RNA (287 nucleotides) under Manihot esculenta (cassava). RNAcentral describes it as "long non-coding RNA (MESC_LNC004762)". Lineage: Eukaryota; Viridiplantae; Streptophyta; Magnoliopsida; Malpighiales; Euphorbiaceae. The record is from RNAcentral.
UUUUUCUUCUUCCAAUUAGAAAAUUAAAAAAAAAAAAGAAAUAGAGGGUGAGCAGUAACAGUUUCGGAUUUUGGAGAGUUCAAUUGGUUAGAUAUAAUUCAAUGAAAUUAUAAAAAAAGCUCAAAAAUCGGUUUCGAACCGAACCGAACCGAACCAGUUCGGUUCGGUUCGAUUCGGUUUUCUGUCUUAUUUGGUUCGGUUCGGUUUACAUUUUGAAACAAUUCGGUUAAAUCGGUUUUGGCCGGUUCGAUUCGGUACCGAACCGAACCGACCGAUGCACACCCCUA